This 676-nucleotide ribosomal RNA is filed under the name Bacillus sp. W040. RNAcentral describes it as "SSU rRNA". It matches the Rfam family "Bacterial small subunit ribosomal RNA", at positions 36 to 692 of the family's 1533-position model. The record is from RNAcentral. Lineage: Bacteria; Bacillati; Bacillota; Bacilli; Caryophanales; Bacillaceae.
CUGGCGGCGUGCCUAAUACAUGCAAGUCGAGCGAAUGGAUUAAGAGCUUGCUCUUAUGAAGUUAGCGGCGGACGGGUGAGUAACACGUGGGUAACCUGCCCAUAAGACUGGGAUAACUCCGGGAAACCGGGGCUAAUACCGGAUAACAUUUUGAACCGCAUGGUUCGAAAUUGAAAGGCGGCUUCGGCUGUCACUUAUGGAUGGACCCGCGUCGCAUUAGCUAGUUGGUGAGGUAACGGCUCACCAAGGCAACGAUGCGUAGCCGACCUGAGAGGGUGAUCGGCCACACUGGGACUGAGACACGGCCCAGACUCCUACGGGAGGCAGCAGUAGGGAAUCUUCCGCAAUGGACGAAAGUCUGACGGAGCAACGCCGCGUGAGUGAUGAAGGCUUUCGGGUCGUAAAACUCUGUUGUUAGGGAAGAACAAGUGCUAGUUGAAUAAGCUGGCACCUUGACGGUACCUAACCAGAAAGCCACGGCUAACUACGUGCCAGCAGCCGCGGUAAUACGUAGGUGGCAAGCGUUAUCCGGAAUUAUUGGGCGUAAAGCGCGCGCAGGUGGUUUCUUAAGUCUGAUGUGAAAGCCCACGGCUCAACCGUGGANGGUCAUUGGAAACUGGGAGACUUGAGUGCAGAAGANGAAAGUGGAAUUCCAUGUGUAGCGGUGAAAUGCGUA